GUUCCUGUAGUGUAAUGGUUAUCAUGUUUGCUUUACAUGCAAAAGGUUUCUGGUUCAAAACCAGACAGAAACG
Poecilia formosa (Amazon molly) is the source of this 73-nucleotide transfer RNA. It matches the Rfam family "tRNA". From Rfam's summary of the family: Transfer RNA (tRNA) molecules are approximately 80 nucleotides in length. NCBI's taxonomy places the organism in Eukaryota, Metazoa, Chordata, Actinopteri, Cyprinodontiformes, Poeciliidae. The record is from Rfam.